GUGAAUCAUCGAAUUUUUGAACGCAAAUUGCACUUUUUGGUAUUCCGGAAAGUAUGCCUGUUUGAGGGUCAGCUACAUUAUAAUGGGCGUUGUUGUUUUCGGUAGUGGUGUGUGAUGCAUGGGAAUUGAGUCGUUCUUUACCUUUGGUUUAAGUGAUUUAAACUUAUGUUCGAUUUUUGAACGUAUUUAAAUUAUUACUUACGUUCGUAAUAUAACAUAUUAGGUGCGGUUAUUCACAUGAUUUCGCGUCUAUAAUUUU
This 259-nucleotide unclassified non-coding RNA is filed under the name Glomeraceae sp. Its description in RNAcentral is "partial contains 5.8S ribosomal RNA and internal transcribed spacer 2". The stretch from base 1 to 71 matches the Rfam family "5.8S ribosomal RNA", at positions 84 to 154 of the family's 154-position model. Lineage: Eukaryota; Fungi; Glomeromycota; Glomeromycetes; Glomerales; Glomeraceae. The record is from RNAcentral.